UAUGUCAAGGAGGUUGUUGCAACAAAAUCCAUCUACACCAACCAGAGCUAUCACUCCUGUGCAAACACCUAGCCCUAUGACAAGGAGGUUGCUGGAAUUUGAAGCCUCCAUAGAGCCUGUUACCUGUGCAGCACUAUCUCCUGUAGGCUUCUUGGAGAAGGGAAAGGCAAAGAAGUUGAAGGUUGUCAGGUCUAAGAAAGAGUAGAGAGUGUCAGAUCAGUACCAUGUAUAGUUUUGGUAGCAUCAAGAUGCCAGAUGUGGCUUGAAUCUAUGAUUUCCUUUUGUUGAACCUGUUGAAGGACAGGGGUAUAUAUGUCUUUUAUAAAUGUAUUGAUACCUGUUUGAUGAGAAUAUGUUAUAAUA
This is a long non-coding RNA of Zea mays, 363 nucleotides long. RefSeq lists it as uncharacterized. Lineage: Eukaryota; Viridiplantae; Streptophyta; Magnoliopsida; Poales; Poaceae. The transcript has 2 exons. The record is from RefSeq and is a predicted model, not a curated record.